This 780-nucleotide ribosomal RNA is filed under the name Triticum aestivum (bread wheat). RNAcentral's name for it is "partial small subunit ribosomal RNA". Lineage: Eukaryota; Viridiplantae; Streptophyta; Magnoliopsida; Poales; Poaceae. The record is from RNAcentral.
AUGGCUGAGCUGACCAAAAAAGACUCCCAAAUCACCGAUCUUCAGGCAAAUAUCAAAUCCCAGCAAGAUGAGACUUGCAAGGUUAAAGGCAAGCUAACCACCGCUUUAACAACCAUGGAACAACUGAAGGAGUACUUUAAGGGUGAACGGGCAGACUGGGAAGUUGAAAAAUCCACUUUGUUAAAGCGGGCAGAAGAUACUAAAAACGCCCUUAAAUCGGUGACAGAAGAACUGAGCAGCUUGAAGCAGCAGAUCAAUGCCAUGACCUCUGCCAUCUUUGGUAGCCGUGUUACUCAUCUUGGAGCAGAUAUGCGCAAAAAAUUGAAGGCUGCCUAUACAUUGGCAGAGCAAUUUUAUACCGGCGCUCAACGAGCCAUCUGCACAGCUUCCAAUAACAAACCGCCCCCAACGCUGAUCAAGGAAACACUGGAAAGGUUAUCCAUGCUGCCUGCCCGGAUUGAAGAAUUGAAGAAGUCAGCUGCUAGGGCCGGUGCUCUUACUGCCUUGACUCGGGCCAAAGCCUGGAUAUCUGACCUCGAUCCGGAAGACAUUGGGAAUGGUUAUCCAAGCCAGAAAGAGGACAGGUCAGAAUUUGAUAAUGAUGACCUCAGGGCUAUCAAUCAAGAAAUGCGUCCACUGGCAAGCAACUUGGCUGAAGACACUGAUUUGUCGUUUUAUCAGAACUCUUAUGAUGCCAGCGACAAACGGAUGAAUGCACCAACUUAUGACGUGGAAAAUCUGAUCCCGCCAAUUCCCACUGGGCGGAGAGAAGGAGGGUGA